GAUGAACGCUGGCGGCGUGCCUAAUACAUGCCAGUCGAGCGAACAGACGAGGAGCUUGCUCCUUUGACGUUAGCGGCGGACGGGUGAGUAACACGUAGGUAACCUACCUAUAAGACUGGGAUAACUUCGGGAAACCGGAGCUAAUACCGGAUAAUAUUUCGAACCGCAUGGUUCGAUAGUGAAAGAUGGCUUUGCUAUCACUUAUAGAUGGACCUGCGCCGUAUUAGCUAGUUGGUAAGGUAACGGCUUACCAAGGCAACGAUACGUAGCCGACCUGAGAGGGUGAUCGGCCACACUGGAACUGAGACACGGUCCAGACUCCUACGGGAGGCAGCAGUAGGGAAUCUUCCGCAAUGGGCGAAAGCCUGACGGAGCAACGCCGCGUGAGUGAUGAAGGUCUUCGGAUCGUAAAACUCUGCUAUUAGGGAAGAACAAACGUGUAAGUAACUGUGCACGUCUUGACGGUACCUAAUCAGAAAGCCACGGCUAACUACGUG
Molecule: ribosomal RNA, 497 nt
Filed under: uncultured bacterium
Lineage: Bacteria
Description: partial 16S ribosomal RNA
Rfam family: Bacterial small subunit ribosomal RNA
Source: RNAcentral